Molecule: ribosomal RNA, 406 nt
Filed under: uncultured bacterium
Lineage: Bacteria
Description: partial 16S ribosomal RNA
Rfam family: Bacterial small subunit ribosomal RNA
Source: RNAcentral
AUUGAACGCUGGCGGCAGGCCUAACACAUGCAAGUCGAGCGAGCCGCGGACGGGUGAGUACUGUACGUGGCUCUGCCCGAUAGAGGGGGAUAACAACUGGUAACGGUGGCUAAAACCGCCUACUACCGGCUGAACCCAUAUGGGUUUGGCUAGUAGGGGGGGAAAAGGCUCCCCUAGGCGACGAUCUCUAUCUGGUAUGAGAGGAUGAUCAGCCAACCUGUGACUGCGACACGGCCCAGACCCCUACGGGAGGCAGCAGUGGGGAAUUUUGGACAAUGGGCGCAAUCCUGAGCCAGCCAUGCCGCGUGUAUGAUGAAGGCCUUCGGGUUGUAAAGUACUUUUAGCGGGGGAGCGUUACCCGCAGAAGAAGCACCGGCUAACUACGUGCCAGCAGCCGCGGUAAUUC